UUAGUACUCCCUCCGUCUCAUAUUAAGUGACUUUCCGUUACAUGUAUCUAGACGCUUUUUAGACAUAGAUACAUCCAUAUUUGGACAAAUUUGAGUCACUUAAUAUGGGACGGAGGGAGUACAUG
This is a non-coding RNA of Brachypodium distachyon (stiff brome), 125 nucleotides long. The record is from Rfam. Lineage: Eukaryota; Viridiplantae; Streptophyta; Magnoliopsida; Poales; Poaceae.